UCUACUAAAGGAAAAUAGCCUU
This 22-nucleotide transfer RNA is filed under the name Rhinophis drummondhayi. RNAcentral's name for it is "partial tRNA-Leu". The record is from RNAcentral. Lineage: Eukaryota; Metazoa; Chordata; Lepidosauria; Squamata; Uropeltidae.